This 895-nucleotide ribosomal RNA is filed under the name Phialemonium inflatum. RNAcentral's name for it is "LSU rRNA". It matches the Rfam family "Eukaryotic large subunit ribosomal RNA", at positions 38 to 964 of the family's 3401-position model. The record is from RNAcentral. Lineage: Eukaryota; Fungi; Ascomycota; Sordariomycetes; Cephalothecales; Cephalothecaceae.
GCAUAUCAAUAAGCGGAGGAAAAGAAACCAACAGGGAUUGCCCUAGUAACGGCGAGUGAAGCGGCAACAGCUCGAAUUUGAAAUCUGGCCUCGGCCCGAGUUGUAAUCUGUAGAGGAUGCUUUUGGCGCGGUGCCUUCCGAGUGCCCUGGAACGGGACGCCACAGAGGGUGAGAGCCCCGUAUGGUCGGACACCAAGCCUGUGUAAAGCUCCUUCGACGAGUCGGGUAGCUUGGGAAUGCUGCUCUAAGUGGGAGGUAAACUUCUUCUAAAGCUAAAUACUGGCCAGAGACCGAUAGCGCACAAGUAGAGUGAUCGAAAGAUGAAAAGCACUUUGAAAAGAGGGUCAAAUAGUACGUGAAAUUGUUGAAAGGGAAGCGCUCAUGACCAGACUUGCGCCGGGCUGAUCAUCCAGUGGUCUCCACUGGUGCACUCUGCCCGGCUCAGGCCAGCGUCGGCUGUCACGGGGGGACAAAAGCACUGGGAAAGUAGCUCUCUCCGGGGAGUGUUAUAGCCCUAUGCAGAAUACCCCCGCGGCGGCCGAGGUCCGCGCUCUGCAAGGACGCUGGCGUAAUGGUCAUCAGCGACCCGUCUUGAAACACGGACCAAGGAGUCGAGGUUUUGCGCGAGUGUUCGGGUGCAAAGCCCCAGCGCGUAAUUAAAGUGAACGUAGGUGAGAGCUUCGGCGCAUCAUCGACCGAUCCUGAUGUAUUCGGAUGGAUUUGAGUAGGAGCGUAAAGCCUCGGACCCGAAAGAUGGUGAACUAUGCCUGUAUAGGGUGAAGCCAGAGGAAACUCUGGUGGAGGCUCGCAGCGGUUCUGACGUGCAAAUCGAUCGUCAAAUAUGGGCAUGGGGGCGAAAGACUAAUCGAACCAUCUAGUAGCUGGUUACCGCCGA